GGCUCAGGAUGAACGCUGGCGGUAUGCUUUACACAUGCAAGUCGUACGAGAGUUUUUAACUCAAGUGGCGGACGGGUGAGUAACACGUAAGAAUUUACCUUUAGGAGGGGGACAACAACUGGAAACGGUUGCUAAUACCCCAUAUGCUUUCGAGUGAAAUGGAUUUUUCCGCCUAGAGAGAAGCUUGCGGCUGAUUAGCUUGUUGGUGAGGUAAUGGCUUACCAAGGCGACGAUCAGUAUCUGAUUUGAGAGGAUGAUCAGACACACUGGAACUGAGACACGGUCCAGACUCCUACGGGAGGCAGCAGUGGGGAAUUUUCCGCAAUGGGCGAAAGCCUGACGGAGCAAUACCGCGUGAGGGAUGACGGCCUAUGGGUUGUAAACCUCUUUUUUCAGGGAGGAAUCAAUGACGUGUACCUGAAGAAUAAGCAUCGGCUAACUCCGUGCCAGCAGCCGCGGUAAGACGGAGGAUGCAAGUGUUAUCCGGAAUCACUGGGCGUAAAGCGUCUGUAGGUGGUCCAAUAAGUCAACUGUUAAAUCUUGAGGCUCAACCUCAAAAUCGCAGUCGAAACUAUUAGACUAGAGUAUAGUAGGGGUAAAGGGAAUUUCCAGUGGAGCGGUGAAAUGCGUAGAGAUUGGAAAGAACACCGAUGGCGAAGGCACUUUACUGGGCUAUUACUAACACUCAGAGACGAAAGCUAGGGUAGCAAAUGGGAUUAGAUACCCCAGUAGUCCUAGCCGUAAACAAUGGAUACUAGAUGUUGAACAGAUCGACCUGUGCAGUAUCAAAGCUAACGCGU
This 800-nucleotide ribosomal RNA is filed under the name uncultured soil bacterium. RNAcentral describes it as "bacterial SSU rRNA". It matches the Rfam family "Bacterial small subunit ribosomal RNA", at positions 21 to 860 of the family's 1533-position model. The record is from RNAcentral.